This 179-nucleotide ribosomal RNA is filed under the name uncultured bacterium. RNAcentral describes it as "partial 16S ribosomal RNA". The record is from RNAcentral.
UUAGCCGGUGCUUAUUCUAGUCGGUAACGUCAAAACANUNACGUAUUAGGUAACUGCCCUUCCUCCCAACUUAAAGUGCUUUACAAUCCGAAGACCUUCUUCACACACAGCAGGCAUGGCCUGGAUCAUGGCUUUCGCCCAUUAGUCCAAUAUUCCCCACCUGCUGCCUCCCAGUAGGA